UGCCCUACGGGACGCAGCAGUGAGGAAUAUUGGUCAAUGGUCGGGAGACUGAACCAGCCAAGCCGCGUGAGGGAGGAAGGUACAGAGUAUCGUAAACCUCUUUUGUCAGGGAACAAAGGCGGGGACGUGUCCCCGGAUGAGUGUACCUGAAGAAAAAGCAUCGGCUAACUCCGUGCCAGCAGCCGCGGUAAUACGGAGGAUGCGAGCGUUAUCCGGAUUUAUUGGGUUUAAAGGGUGCGCAGGCGGUCUGUUAAGUCAGCGGGCAAAGCCCGGGGCUUAAACCCCGCCCGCCGGU
Molecule: ribosomal RNA, 295 nt
Filed under: uncultured bacterium
Lineage: Bacteria
Description: partial 16S ribosomal RNA
Rfam family: Bacterial small subunit ribosomal RNA
Source: RNAcentral